UACGAAGGGGGCUAGCGUUGCUCGGAAUCACUGGGCGUAAAGCGCACGUAGGCGGAUUUCUAAGUCAGAUGUGAAAUCCCGGGGCUCAACCCCGGAACUGCAUCCGAUACUGCCAUGCUAGAGGAUUGGAGAGGUAGCUGGAAUUCUUGGUGUAGCAGUGAAAUGCGUAGAUAUCUGGAGGAAUACCGGUGGCGAAGGCGGCAUCCUGGACCGGCAUUGACGCUGAGGAGCGAAAGCCAGGGGAGCAAACGGG
This 253-nucleotide ribosomal RNA is filed under the name uncultured bacterium. Its description in RNAcentral is "partial 16S ribosomal RNA". It matches the Rfam family "Bacterial small subunit ribosomal RNA", at positions 524 to 776 of the family's 1533-position model. The record is from RNAcentral.